UGCAUUGUGAACCACGCCCCCAUUCUCCGAUGAUCUUUCAGCCAUAUUGGAUGCUGGGUUCAAACGAAAUUUACUAUUGAUUUAAUUGUAUCGACAGUGGAUAAUUUACUGUAUUCCAUGUCAUGAAUGACCACAAUUUUGAAACGUUGAUAAAUUAUAUCACAGUUUUCUCGUCUUAAAUGAAAGCAUGAGUCAUGAGUUAUCCUAGUUUAUGAUUGCGAAGGUGUUUCUCCGUCAGAUUUGUUAGCACAUUGUUAGCACAGCGAGGUGUCACGUGAUCUCACGGCUUGGCGUAAGAUUGUACGCCACUUACGCUAUUUGCGUGCCAUUUUACCAUGCAUUUUAUGCAUUUUACACAUUUAAGGCUUUUAGCGUCUUACUGUACGCUGUUUGGCCAUGGAGAACAACGCAUCCCAGCUGCCACACGUUAACAGCCGAAUCAAAACGAAAAUAUCCGAGCAGCUAAGGAUUGAAACGAAGUCCGAAAAGAAAACGACAGCAAGAUUCUUGCUCCUGAUAUCCUGAUGAUACUGUCCUGUAUGACUCCAACAGAACACUCACAGAAAGGAGAGCAGUGUCAUACUACAAGAUAACUAGCAACAAACCCUUGUUUGUCCUUGUUUGGCUACUCAUUUGUCUACUUCCUGAAGAGGAGCAUGCUAGCCUCGACACCUCAGUUCUUGCUUCCAUUAACAGCUGUGUUAUGGAGCGCAUCCUCACAUCAUGGUCUACUGCAGCAGGUGGAUACGGAAGACAAUUGGUCCAAACCAUCUUGAAGCCUUUUGGACAGAGGAGCGGAUGACCGAGCUGGUUAACCUCUACAUAAAUAGACACAUGUCAAGUGGGUUUAUCAAGGCCCAAAUAUGCUGAGGAAUACAGGCUGCCUUGGUGGCCUAAGGAGUCAUGUCAAUGAUCAGCUGUUUGUUGAGGCAGCAGCAGCAGGAGCAGCACCAACAACAGAAGCAGCAGCAGCAGCAGGAGCAGCACCACCAGCACUAUAAACGCCAUCAGCAGCAGCGGCAGAUUAUAAAGAAGGAUAACAAUGAAUACAUGAAAUCAGAGUGGGAAGUUGUGCUUUUAUGUUUCAUAUAUACUGUAUAAAUAUAUGCACCUUACUUGAGUGUCUCUACAAUUUACUUAUACUGCAAUGCAAUUAAAAUAAAGGCAUUAAUUUAAUUCAUUUGUCAUUUCAGUUUUUAUUCUUACAUUCAUUUCACCUGGGUGCCAGCCAAA
Molecule: long non-coding RNA, 1233 nt
Organism: Sardina pilchardus (European sardine)
Lineage: Eukaryota; Metazoa; Chordata; Actinopteri; Clupeiformes; Clupeidae
Exons: 4
Source: RefSeq, a predicted model, not a curated record